GGCGUCCUCCACACUCUGACCCUGCAGCCAUGCUGCCGGGCUAAAGCGGGUUUAAUUAAUGGCGCCUGAGGCCGGCUCCUGAGGGCUCCUGAGGCAGCUUGAAACCCAGCAAAAUCUCCCUGGCUGAUAAAAUCUCAGUGGCUAAAAUGGAAAUACUGGGACCCGGGUAGGUGGAACUUGCAUUUUCAAAGCCACCUUUCCUCCAUCCCCUCCAUCUGGUCGGGCUGCUGGAACCCUCACAGUGGAGAACUCCCGGCUGAGGAGUCUACACUUUGGUCAUGCCUCAUAGAAGAACAGCCCCAGCCAUAGUAUUAAAAGGAGGAAACAUCACAGCAGACAGCUAAUUCCUACACUAUAGACAGGAAAUGCAGAAGCCCGACAGGCCAUCAGAGAAUUGCACACCUGGGCUGUCUUGAUCUGGUUCCUUGGAGAAUUGCUCUGUGGAUCUGAGCCUUGGCCCCGCGCCAUCGGCCCACACUGAGGAGUGCCGCAAACAACCCCCGGGGCCCCCCUAACCACUUUCUCUGUGCUUUAUUU
Molecule: long non-coding RNA, 537 nt
Filed under: Equus asinus (donkey)
Lineage: Eukaryota; Metazoa; Chordata; Mammalia; Perissodactyla; Equidae
Description: lncRNA (ENSEASG00005031063.1)
Source: RNAcentral